GGCCAGGGAGCUGCAGGCAAGGGACUAAGGGGAGGGGGGCUCAGUGCCAGCUGCUUAAAAAUGCCCCUGUGGCAGCGAGGGGCACCAGAGGCUGGGUCUAAUUAGUUGAGAAGCAGUGACACCCCCAACCACUCCCCAAACAGGCUGGCUCCCAUCUCCAGGCCCCAAGGAGCCACACCUGGACCAGACCCCAGGAAAGGCAAGGGCACUAGCUAGUGGGAGCCACCCCUGCUACGCUGAUGCUGGAGAAGCAAGAACUCUGGAGAAGCAGCCUCCUGGGACCAGAGGGGGGCCAGCAGCAGGCAGCUCGGCUACAGAACUCUCACCCACGCCUCUCCAAGCCUCCCGACAGAAGACAGAGGUCCCCCACAGCCCAGAGACAUUUCCUGAAGACAUGGGGACCACAGAGGCAGAAACAGCCCAUCCACCCAGGAGCUGCCCCCCACGCUGCCGGGAGCCAGCACCCAGAGCCGCCAGAUAAAACUGAGGCCACCUGGUUCAACAUUGCCUUUCACAGAAGGGGAAACAGCCACAGAAAGAAGGGCCUGGUAAGAAGUGGAACCUGGGACCCCCAAGCGGUGUCUCUCAUCCUGACUGGGGAUCCAGAGUAGGAGGGAGCCUUUGGUGGGGUUGGAGUCCCGCCACAGGCCACCAGAGCGGAGCAGCGCAGCGCCCUGUCUCCCAGCCUGAGGUGCAGUGCUGCAUCUCUGGUCAGUUGGGAGUCUGAGAUGAAGCACUGUAGCUCAGGAAGAGAGAAGUUGUUCUGCAGCCAUCAGCCUGGAAGUGGCUGGAUGUGGGAACUUCAGCACUGCCCUACUCUUGGGAAAUUUGUCCAAGGCCACCCGGCUGAGCAGCGGUUGAACAAGGACCCAUCAGGCAUGCGUUUCUUGUCUCCACCACACCCUCAACCCACUUCCCAAUGCGCCUUGCGACAGGGGCUGUGGUAUUGCAUCCACAUGACUGAUAAACUAGUAAACACACAUGAAUUCAUUUUAAAAGUGUAUUCAAUCCGUUAGGUAAACUAAAAACCGUUAAGUCUUCGUUCGAUUUGGAAUUGAUCCAGAGAACAAAUGGAAAAUUUUUCAAGGUAGAGAAGACGAAAACUCAGAACGCCCUCUUGUGGUGCCUCUACCCACCCCAGGAACACUAUGGCUCUUCCCCUACACAUGGUGAUUGCUAACGUUGCUACAAGACGUUGGACACAUACACACACACACACACGCACUGAGGUUCCUUUUGCCCCCUCGCUUUUGAGCCAGUGACUACUGAAACCCUCUCCAUUGUUGCACCACCAGCAAUGCCCCCAUCACUUCCUCUCGUUUAGUUCCACAGGCUGGUUCAUCCUCAAAGCCCUCCUUACGUAGAUCCGUGGGAUCAGUGAGGCUCAGAGAGGUAAGUGGCCAGCCCAAGGCCGCCCAGACAGCAAAAGGCAGGGCCAGCGCUGAUUUCAAGUCCAAUGGCCUAUGGCAAUUUCUUAGCCAAAAGCAAAAUCUACAAAAAUAAAAAGCCAGGCACAGUGGUGAGUGCCUACAGUCCCAGCUACUGAGGAGGCCGACGGGGGAGGACCACUUGAGCUUGGGAGUUCCUGGCUGCUGAGAGCUAUGAUUGUGUCUGUGAAUAGCCAAUGCACUCCAGCCUGAGCAACAUAGGGAGACCCUGUCUCUAAAAAAUACCCAAAUAAUUUUAAAAGUCAGCCUCCCUGACUGCCUAUAGAGAAUGCUAACUGACUGAAUGACAAAAGACCUAAUGUAAUCCAGGUGCAAAAUCAGAACUUUCUGGCCGGGCGCGGUGGCUCAUGCCUGUAAUCCCAACACUUUGGGAGGCCGAGGCGGGUGGAUCACGAGGUCAGGAGUUCAAGACCGGCCUGCCCAACAUGGCAAAACCCCGUCUCUACUAAAAAUACAAAAAAUUAACUGGGCGUGGUGGCAGGCGUCUAUAAUCUCAGCUGCUCAGGAGGCUGAGGCAGGAGAAUUGCUUGGACCCUGGAGGCAGAGGUUGCAGUGAGCUGAGAUCGCGCCACUGCACUCCAGCCUGGGCGACAAAAGCGAAACUCCUUCUCAAAAAAAAAAAAAAAAAAUUAGAACUUUCCCCGUACUCUUGCUAGGGCUUUUCAUGGAGUUGUAGAAACGGUAGUAAGUGCCAAGGCCCCAGAACCCUCAUGUUUGGGUCCGACUCCCACAUUGCCAGGGACUAGGCAGCUCACACAGGUGUCCCAAGCUGUCUUUCUCACAGGCCACAUUGAAGACAUUUAUGAAAUGAGACCCCCUCUUCCUCAUCCAUAGCAACGGAGCUGGCCUGACCGUGGAGAAAUCAGAUUUGAUCAUGAUAGCUUCCACUCAGUGACUGGUCACGAUCUGCCAGGCGCUGUGCUAAACACUUUCAUAGGCCUUGUCUCCCUCCAUCCUGAUAACACCCCAGUGAAGCAGGCCCUGCUAUUCACUCCACUCCACAAAGCCAAGGCUGAGAGAGGUUAACAAACUUACCUAAGGUCACACAGCUAAGAAGUUGUGAAGCUGGGAUCGAAUCAAGUCUGUGUUUAUGGGUUUAACUAUCAUGUUGUGGCCCCAACCCCAUUUGAACUAGCCUGGCUGGUGGGCCUUCUUGCAGUAGCUUCCCCUGGAAAAGAGGAAAAGCAAACCUUCAUUGAGACCCAAGUGGUCUCUCCUGUGCUCUGUGACAAUAAUAAAGUUCUGGCCCUUGG
This 2701-nucleotide long non-coding RNA is filed under the name Pongo abelii (Sumatran orangutan). Its description in RNAcentral is "lincRNA". The stretch from base 676 to 759 matches the Rfam family "mir-143 microRNA precursor family". The record is from RNAcentral. Lineage: Eukaryota; Metazoa; Chordata; Mammalia; Primates; Hominidae.